CACGUAGGGUGCGAGCGUUGUCCGGAAUUAUUGGGCGUAAAGAGCUCGUAGGCGGUGUGUCGCGUCGGCCGUGAAAACCUGCAGCUUAACUGUGGGCUUGCGGUCGAUACGGGCAUCACUGGAGUUCGGCAGGGGAGACUGGAAUUCCUGGUGUAGCGGUGAAAUGCGCAGAUAUCAGGAGGAACACCGGUGGCGAAGGCGGGUCUCUGGGCCGAUACUGACGCUGAGGAACGAAAGCGUGGGGAGCGAACAGG
This 254-nucleotide ribosomal RNA is filed under the name uncultured bacterium. RNAcentral's name for it is "partial 16S ribosomal RNA". It matches the Rfam family "Bacterial small subunit ribosomal RNA", at positions 524 to 776 of the family's 1533-position model. The record is from RNAcentral.